RNAcentral lists this ribosomal RNA (242 nucleotides) under uncultured bacterium. RNAcentral's name for it is "partial small subunit ribosomal RNA". It matches the Rfam family "Bacterial small subunit ribosomal RNA", at positions 26 to 285 of the family's 1533-position model. The record is from RNAcentral.
AGAAUCAACGCUGGCGGCGUGCCUAACACAUGCAAGUCGAACGAGAAAGUGGAGCAAUCCAUGAGUAAAGUGGCGCACGGGUGAGUAACACGUGACUACCUACCCUCGAGUGGGGAAUAACCUCGGGAAACCGGGCUAACACCGCAUAAUAUCUACGGAUCAAAUGCGAAAGCAGCUUGAGGAGGGGUCGCGGCCGAUUAGCUAGUUGGUGAGGUAAUGGCUCACCAAGGCAAUGAUCGGUA